This 343-nucleotide long non-coding RNA is filed under the name Mus musculus (house mouse). RNAcentral's name for it is "long non-coding RNA chr13:54107975-54108318". Lineage: Eukaryota; Metazoa; Chordata; Mammalia; Rodentia; Muridae. The record is from RNAcentral.
GAGCUGGGCUCUUUUAAAUUUGUUUUGUGAAGUUUCAGCCUCUUAAUGCUUUUGUAUAGGAAUACUCACUGUGUGGUUUAAUCAUGAUUUAUUAAAAAAAAAAAAAAAAGAACAAAUGAACGAAAAUUGGCAAUCUUUGCUGAUCUUCUAAAAAUACUUUUUUUUUCCUGAAGAAAAAAAAAGCCACACGAAGUGCAAUAGGGUUGUGCGGCGACUCAUUGAUAUUUCUCUGAUGUGAGAUAGAGCUGUGUGUGUGUGACUGGCUAGCAGCUAUCAGUAUUAGCGAGGUGUCUUGCCGAUAUCAGAGUCAGUGUGUCAUUUCAGUUUAACUGGAUGAACUGUC